AUGCUGUGCCGCCUUUCAAUCAAAUCAAUUAUUUAUUAUUUUUAAACCAUCGUCAUGAUAAAUGAAAAGAUAGGUCCCUUGAAGUGUAUAAGAGUAAACUGAAUGAAUAGGCGAGUAGUAGACAUUAUUGAGCAAAUAAUCAUCGUAAAGAACCCAGUCUAAAAACUUCGCAACCAAUUCCGUAAAUUAUCAAAAAAUCAUUAUUUCGGAUCAUGCCACCCACAUCAGCUACGUGAGUAUAUCUUUCCAGGAUCGGUUUCAAUGAAUCACCCUCGACUUUCCAUAGUAAUAUCCUUUGGUCAAUGGAUACACUCAGCAAAAGCUCUUUGGUAAUUGAUAAAACACCUGUAACACUGGAAGCAUGAGCUUCAGCAAAAAAGUAGUUAUGUAAAGAAUUGACUACUACUGAAUUUUCACUUAUUUGUUCUAACAAAAGUAUAGAUCGAGAAAUUGCACCAUCAUCACCACCCGUAGAAAUCGUUAACACAUCUUGAUCCCUGCUAAUAUUUAAUGACUUAACACAAAAUUGAUGCACUGUUUUUAUCCAAAUUAUUAAUGGCUCAAUUUGAGGAUCCCUCCAAAAUGUGUUCCAAAUAGCAACAUUACCAUCAGUCGAAGCAACCACCAACAAUAAAUGAGACCCGAAAAUAACAGCCUCGGCAAAAACCAAACAAACUGUCUUAUAUUUCCAACUUUUUAUACAAUUUAGCUGCUUCGUAUCUACGUUAUAAGUGAAUGCUUUGAUAGUCGAAUCGGACUGUACAGUAUUAAUCCAUAACACUCUUUCACCCAGAUGGGUUGCCUUUACAACAGAAAUGUCAGUUAUUCGAAGAUCCCCAUCGUAAGUCUUGUUACUUUUAUUUGGUUUGCAGAGUUUUUCAUGAACGAUCCGUUUCAGAUAUGCCUCUGGCUUUUGUAUUAGCCUAUAAACAUUUAACUCUUCAAGACCACCAGUGGAAAAUAAAAUAUCAUCGCUAAACCAGGUCAGCGAUUGGAUUCCUGAAUUAUGAAACUUGACAGAAUUCAGAGGAAUUAUGUUUCCAUUACUCUGAAACUCAAGCAGGGUUACUUUAGUAUCUUCAGAUCCUGAUAAUAAAAGAUCCCCUGAAGGAUUGAAAUCCAUUGCUCGAAUCUCACGCCCAUGCAAACCAUUUUGUAAUACAGAAUUUCUUUGCAAAAGAUUUAAAGCAGUGCUAUAAAUAUAAAGUUGAUUUGCUCUAUAAGAUGCAAAACUUUGAAUGUCCAUCUCCAUUGAAAAAGCCCAUGGACGAUGACUACCUCCACAAUCAAUAAAGAAAACAUUAGUUUCAUUUGUCUCAUCCCUUAAAAAAAAAUUUGAUGCAUGAAAACCCCAAACCCAUUGAUUUUCCUUUCCAUUUUUUAAUUUUUUACACAAACCCUAGCAUAUGUUAGCUGAACCAUGAACCGUAUAUUCUUAAAGAUAAUACUCACCCCGCUUAGUAUACCAUCACAACAUUUUUUCGAACACAGCUCCUGAGGAACAGCACUUUUUUCUACCCUCGGAAUUGAAAAUAAAUUGACAUAACCAUCACGUCCGACUGUUUGAAUUAAGAGGUAAUCACGUUUUGACGACUUGAUGUGAAUGGAUGAAAUUGCAUCAAAUUCAUGAAUUC
This 1634-nucleotide long non-coding RNA is filed under the name Schizosaccharomyces pombe (fission yeast). The record is from RNAcentral. Lineage: Eukaryota; Fungi; Ascomycota; Schizosaccharomycetes; Schizosaccharomycetales; Schizosaccharomycetaceae.